This is a non-coding RNA of Paramuricea clavata, 1897 nucleotides long. Lineage: Eukaryota; Metazoa; Cnidaria; Anthozoa; Malacalcyonacea; Plexauridae. The record is from the annotation of a GenBank genome assembly.
CUUCUAAACCUGUUUUAAAUGCAGCGAGAGAGGUUACUGAUCUAAGAGAUUCUGGCAGGCCAUUCCAUAAAGAGGCUCCACUGUAACUGAAGGAGCGUUUCAAAUAAUCUGUGCGUGGUUUUGGGACAUAAAGUUUACCAUAAGAAUCUCUCAGGUUAUAAACACUCUCACUGGGAGAAAACAUCUCUUGUAAAUAGAAUGGUGUAUGUUUAUUAAUAGUAUUAAACAUGAGGAUUGCCUUUUGCUUUAAUCGCUUAGUGGACAAUGAUUCCCAAUUAAGUUCUUGAAGCGUGAAUGAUGCGUCAUGGAGUUCGUGAAGCGUGAAUGAUGCGUCAUGGAAAACUUCAAUGGCUGUGGAUUUCUUUGUUUGCACAUCGUCGACUGUUGUACCACCAGCCAUGAGGUCGUCCACAUACAGGCCAUCGCGAAUCUCUUUAACAAUCUCAGGAUACUGCCGUUCCCACAGUUCGAAGUGUUGAUUGAGGACUCCUGCGAGAAGGAAAGGGGAUGAGGUUAGCCCGAACAAGGCUCUCGUAAAACGGUAUAUUUGAGUUUCGGUACUGCCGGGUGCUCUCCAGUGGAACCGUAAGGAAUCUCUCUCUUCUUCCUUUAUUCUAAUUUGCAGAAAUGCUUUUUGCAGGUCACCUGUCAACAGGAUCGGGUGGAAUCGUGAUCUUAUUAAAAUGUUCCAAAGUAUGUUUUGGAAAGAUGGUCCUGGUUUCAAGCAGUCGUUCAGGGAGGGAUGCUUCACAUUUUCCCGCGCAGACGCGUCGUAGACCAUCCGCAACUUCGUACUUUCCGCAUCUUUCUUAGAAACUCCUUUAUGUGGUAUGUAGUAUUCCUUGCCUUUGGGUACUGUAGGUGCUCUUUCAAUCACACCGCUCUGAAGCUGCUCCUGAAUUAUGCUGUCAUAGUCUUCAUAAUUCCCAUCUCGCUCGAGCCGUUUGACAAGUUACUGUAAUCUUCUUCGGCUGCCCGCUUCGUUCGUUGGCAAUUCUGGGUGGUUGGCCUUCCAAGGUAACUUCGUCUCAUACCAACCAGCCUCGUUUCGUUGAAGUUGCUCUUUGAAUUCCUGGUAUACAGUUCCCUGAUCGUUCUCCGGUUUGUCAGCAAGUCCAAGCACAUCCAAAGAUCACAGCUGCUCAUAGUCCAUGCUGACUGAUCGAGUUAGCAGAAGUGGGCUUGUCACAUCCUCUCUACCAGGCGACAUUAACACCCAACCGAGGCGAGUACGUUCAGCAAUGGGUUGUCCGGGUUUCCCAACUCGUGGCGCUGCUGUUGUCUUGAUAUAUUGGCAUACUCGUUCACUCAGAGAACUACAUGUAUAGGAAGGUGUGGUUUGUCAUCAAGAUCAUCUAUCUUCACUCACUUUAAAUGGUUAUACUUGCUCAGCAGCUCUUCAUACCGAGGAUUAUCGAUUUCCAUCAGGUGUGGCUUAUGGACUUUCGAUAGUUCGACUUCCAUUGUAAACUGACCAUCAGUUCCCUUGAUAGUUGCAGGGUAGAUUUCAACUCUGGUUGUUGUUGAGCCGAGCAUCAUUUCAAUCCGUUUUGUUUGGAUCUCCUUCGGUUUCUUGUUCAGAGCGUCUAUAAGUUUGGCUGAAGUAUAGCAGCUCCCCGAUCCAGUGUCGAGUAGCGCUCGUGUCUUUAUCCCAUCGACUUCAAUGACCACAACAGGAUAAAUAACUUGGUUGUCCCCUGCCCUAUGGGCUGACAUGAACCCCUCAGGUUUCUUUGGAUUUUCACAGAUUGAGGUGUGGUGUCUUCUAGCACAGUUGUGACAUGUCACAAUACUUUUACAUUCCGCUGCUCUGUGGGAGGGUCCAGUACAGUUGAAACAUAGUUUUUUUUUUGCUAGGAUUCUCCUGCGUUCUUCUAAUGUUUUAACGGUUGGGCAG